This is a long non-coding RNA of Musa acuminata subsp. malaccensis (wild Malaysian banana), 393 nucleotides long. RefSeq lists it as uncharacterized. The record is from RefSeq and is a predicted model, not a curated record. Lineage: Eukaryota; Viridiplantae; Streptophyta; Magnoliopsida; Zingiberales; Musaceae.
CUUUUCUGUUGUACGCCUUCCCAGAUUCCCCCGCCGCAAGGAGCCCGCCCCCUGCCGCGGCCACCGCGUCCAGAGAAUUACAGGAACGAUGCAGUUCUUCACAGUCGGCAUCUCCCAAUAUAUAUAGCCUCAUGGAUUUCAACGGCGUUAUAGAUCCUGCAUUAUACGACCUUUGUGAUGGUUGACUCAGUGCUGAAGUAGAACUCUGGUUGCUAUGUGUUCGAAGCUGGUGUGAAGUAGAUGAGAUACAGUACCCUCCUGAUGUGUGGAACCUUUUGUGGAAGAGCAUUGUGUGUGAUCUUUGGUUGUGCUUCAUCGGAGACUAACUGUGUUACUCGAGUAGGUUUUGUAAGUGAAUCCGUUGGUUAUUGAGGGCUAGUGAUUAUGGUUGUA